GACGAACGCUGGCGGCGUGCUUAACACAUGCAAGUCGAACGGAAAGGCCUCUUUCGGGGGGUACUCGAGUGGCGAACGGGUGAGUAACACGUGAGUAACCUGCCCUUGACUUUGGGAUAACUUCAGGAAACUGGGGCUAAUACCGGAUAGGAGCUCCUGCUGCAUGGUGGGGGUUGGAAAGUUUCGGCGGUUGGGGAUGGACUCGCGGCUUAUCAGCUUGUUGGUGGGGUAGUGGCUUACCAAGGCUUUGACGGGUAGCCGGCCUGAGAGGGUGACCGGCCACAUUGGGACUGAGAGACGGCCCAGACUCCUACGGGAGGCAGCAGUGGGGAAUAUUGCACAAUGGGUGGAAGCCUGAUGCAGCAACGCCGCGUGCGGGAGGACGGCCUUCGGGUUGUAAACCGCUUUCAGCAGGGACGAAGCUUUUUGUGACGGUACCUGCAGAAGAAGCACCGGCUAACUACGUG
Molecule: ribosomal RNA, 467 nt
Filed under: uncultured bacterium
Lineage: Bacteria
Description: partial 16S ribosomal RNA
Rfam family: Bacterial small subunit ribosomal RNA
Source: RNAcentral